UACGUAGGGUGCGAGCGUUGUCCGGAAUUAUUGGGCGUAAAGAGCUCGUAGGCGGUCUGUCGCGUCGAUCGUGAAAACUUGGGGCUUAACCCUGAGCUUGCGGUCGAUACGGGCAUGACUGGAGUUCGGCAGGGGAGACUGGAAUUCCUGGUGUAGCGGUGAAAUGCGCAGAUAUCAGGAAGAACACCCGUGGCUAAGGCGGCUCUCUAGUACGGUACUGACGCUGAGACGCGAAAGCGUGGGGAGCGAACAGG
RNAcentral lists this ribosomal RNA (254 nucleotides) under uncultured bacterium. RNAcentral's name for it is "partial 16S ribosomal RNA". It matches the Rfam family "Bacterial small subunit ribosomal RNA", at positions 524 to 776 of the family's 1533-position model. The record is from RNAcentral.